This 8166-nucleotide long non-coding RNA is filed under the name Triticum aestivum (bread wheat). RNAcentral describes it as "long non-coding RNA (TAES_LNC023812)". The stretch from base 3057 to 3181 matches the Rfam family "MIR1120/MIR1122 microRNA precursor family". Lineage: Eukaryota; Viridiplantae; Streptophyta; Magnoliopsida; Poales; Poaceae. The record is from RNAcentral.
CAUGUUCUUUUUUUCUGGUGAACGUCCCAAGAAUUAUAUCACCAGCAGAUAAGCUUAGGCGUUGCAUGUGGAUUCAGAGAGAAGAUUUUACUGGAGAAAUACCUGCACUCCCCAUCCCAAUCCAACAGAUAAAAUCGCUGAUGGCGCAGACCAUGAUCCAUCUGACCGGCGAGCAACUACAAGACCAGUGCCCAUUUUGUACGUAAGAACUGCACCUGCUUUGGCCACUGUGAGCACAGCAAGCCCUUUUGCUCCCUUGAGGAUAGAUGAUGGGAUUGACUUCUCAGGAUUUAAUCUAGAAACCUACACAUACCAAAAAAGAAACGCUUCUGAGCUCUGGAAUGCAAGUAUAUAUCAGUUGGGUACAAAAUUAAACAUACCUGGCAAUAUUUCCUCAGUGUGUUUGUUGCCUUGUAUAUUUCAUACUCCAUUGAUAGUCCAACAGGCAAAUUCAACCAGCUCCUCGUACUUGUCCAAUCCAUGACGUCAUGUUUGGCAGGCUGCAUGGCAUUGCUGUUGUAGUUGAUCAAUAAGGCCUGGAGUGGAUCAAGUCGGUCGUAGCAAGCAUCACACACUCUCUGAGGAUCACGCAGUCUGAACUUCAUGGGCAUCAAGCAUCUUCCCUUGGAACAUUCUUUGCAGAAUAUACCUCCACAGAAGCGGCAAUGGUGCCUUCCACGAGUCAGAGCUGUGAAAGGAAAGCUGCACUGCAGGCAUACACUGGCAGAGCUAUCCGGUAACCAUUCUGGGGGAUCUGCCUGCAGCACCUCCCUGUAUGCACUGAACUGUAAAGCAUUUGCUUCAAGUAGAGGUGGUGCACUCGGAACGCAGACAGAUGAAUGCAAGUCACCAUCCUUGCCAGCGCCUAGAAAUGAUACAUCUGUGCUGAAACUUUGCUGCCGUGAUGCAUCAUCCCCAACCUUGCUUGGGCGCGAAACAAUCGCAGCAAGACCACCUAGUACGGUCUUCAGAUUGAUAGUUGAACUAGCUUGAGCUGUAGGGAACGGAUCUUCUCUUGAACCAUAUUCAGAUGGAAAGUCUGGUUCCAGAGAUGGCUCAUAGAGAUAGUCAUGCACUGGGUAUGUGUUUCCUGGAGCUAGAUUGGACAUAGGAUCUGCCUGGCUGUGGUAGCUAUCGAAUUUGGAGAGGGAUGAGUACGACGUCACUUCAUUUGGGAUCUCCAUGGAAUCAUGUAGAUACAGCACUCAUGUAGGUAAUAAGCAAUGACACAAAAAGACCUAAAAAACAGAGAUGGCAACGAAGAUUAAUAAGGCACAGAUCCUUCAAAGUGUUUCUAGUCCAUAUAACAUUAUAACAAGCUCAUUCUUUCACCCCAAUUCAUUCAUUUUAUUGUCUACUAGCAGAUAUAGGGAUGCAGGCGGACGGCGUCCGCUUGUCCACGAAGCCAAAAACAUACUAAUCCUCAUUGCUUUAAUAACCAUGAUAAUUCUAAUUAUGCUUUCGCCAACGCUCACCGACGCCGUCUGUUUGCAUCCCUAAGCAGAUACAUCAAACUUUAUAGUCUAUAUACACGUAUUUGAGAUAUGGCUAAGAACUUUGAGUAGCAUUCUAAUUGAGCAUUUUAUUCAGUAGAACGCAUUGCAACAGAGCCACGAACGAUUCAUGUAACUCUAUGUGCAUCAUGAGUUCAAAUCAAGAGGUGAAAUCGCAGCUGCACUACAGCAAAACACACCCGAAGUAACUCCCCAAAAACAAGCUCUUACCCACGUAUACCUAUACCUAGCGUCUACGGGCAAGCAAGCAAGCAAUUGGGGGGGCAAUUUCUGAAACCCUAGACGAAACAGAUGGGUCGAUCAGCCGAAAAAUUAACCCUGCCUAGCCAGUAGAACAUCAAUCGCGAACAAACACCACAGAUGAAUCAAACAAUACUGCGUCAUCGAUCAAACGACUCGGCAAGGAUAAGGUAGCUAAGCUAAAUCAAUCGUCUCCAUCCGUCCGCCCUGACGAAUCGCCCCGCCGUAGAACGCGCGAGCCACGGAGGAGAACUGAGGGGGCGGGCGGUACCGACCUAUGGGCGCGCCGGAUCGGCGGGGGGCGAGGAUUCGGAGGCGAUCGUCGCGGGAGGAAGCGUCGGGCGUGGGGGAUCGGGCUGGGUUUCUUCCGUUCGCCGGCAAAGAUGGACGGAAGGGGGAAGAAGUUGAAGGGAGUAGCGAUGCGGGCACGCCCGCCGCACGCGGCUGCCUCAUCUGUACGUUAUCGGGCUCGGGCUUGGGCUGGGUCCUGGUCAAUCCGGUCCGACCUGGGUGGGUGGGCAGAGCCGUGACGGAUGCGGUUUGCUUUUCGGACCCGCGGGGCCCACUUCAGGCCCAGGAAGGCAGGUGACGCGGGGUGAUGGGCCGGCCGGUUUUGCGCCCUCUCUGUCGUGCUGCCGUGUGACGCCGGCCGCGGCAGAAAGCGAAAGCUCGACCGCUCGAGACUGGAGCGGCGCGACGGCGUGGCUCGCCCUGGUUCUUGUCAGCGGCCGCGGCUGCGAACUGGCGGUGUGGAGGAGGGCGGGCGGCGCACGCGUCUGGGUCUCCCGUCUGCGCUCCCAUCGCGUGUGAGUCCUCUACUUAGCUUGUUGCUUCGAUUCCGUGGAAAUCUCGCUGAAAUCUUUUGGGUUAGACCGAAUGACCAAAUUAUUUUAUCGUUGGUUGUAAAUUCUGUUCUCGAUGGUCUCUAAAUCAAUCGCCCAGAACCACCGACCAGCGAGCUCUGAACGUUGUCAGUUGUCACCCACCGCUCUUGCCAAAACCAAGAAAUUAUUAUGUCUUGGGGACUAAAAAAGAAUCGGAAUGGGAAGUACUCCCUAUGUAAAGAAACAUAAGAUCGUUUAGAUCACUAAGAUCUUAUAUUUCUUUGAAGGGGAGUACUAUUUAUUUCUUGAUUCUCUAGCUAACAUCAUUACUUCCUUCUUCAAUAAAAAUUCUCUGUUUUGGCUCGGUUUAAACCCAGAAAAGGCUUCUGCCACACGAAACCUGCUACGGUUAGGAAAUGAACAAAAGGUAUCAAGAGGUCCCUCGCCGUCAUUUGCAAUGUAAUUGCCCCCUAUUUGUCAAGUACUCCCUCCGUCCAGAAAUACUUGUCCGAGGAAUGGAUGUAUCUAGAUGUAUUUUAGUUCUAGAUACAACCAUUUAUAUCCAUUUCUACGACAAGUAUUUCCGGACGGAGGGAGUACCUCUCUUCCUAUAUAGUUUAGGGAGUUAAUGUAGCCCUAUCAGGUAUUUUAGUCAUAAGAUUUAUAGGAACGAAAAAAUAUGAUUUUUUUCCUUUCAUUUCAUUAGGGUGCGAGGGGUUCUUUUUCCACAAGAACGAAAUUACCUUUUUCAAUAUACUACAGGUUUUUAUUUAGAAAAGACAAUAUUUCAUACUGAAGGAUUUGGAUCCAUAACCACGAGUUCCAGUGCACUAAGGUCUUGUAGCUCUUGGCAACGAGGCCCUAUCCAAUAGUAUUCCUCAUAGAAAAUCCAUUCUAAAAAAACAACUAAACAAACUUGGGGUUUGUGAGCCAAGGUAAGAUUGAGGCGGAGGAGGAUGGAGAGUGGUAUAAUUGGUUGGUGGGAUGGAGGUGCUAGCUUGGCAAGAUAGGAAGUUCAAUGUGUAUGUAGAUUGGGUUUCACUGUUACCACCCUUUUCGAGAUCUUAUAGGAUUAGCAAGAUGUUCUAGUGUUAACUAUAGAGAAAUUUAAUGAAUGAAAUAUAUCUAAGAAGAAAGGAAGCCAUGUCUUUGUGAAAGUCUGAAGAAAAAGGAUUUUGAAUCUUCCUUUUCCUUUUUCCCUCAGAAAAAUGACUCAAUCAAAAUCCGGUCCUAAUAAAUGUUAAUUGCACAGAAUUUUGGGAAACUUGGGAGUAAAACAAAGACUAUCUUAUUCAUUCAUUCAAAUACUGUAUCCAUGAGAAAGUGCCAACAACACAGCAUCCAUCCAGUUCCCCUACCGCGACAACACGGGGACUCAACAGGAACUAAAGUUCAUCACUGAAUCAAGAACGGUAACAAAGGACAAGCAAAGGCAUAAGACGCUCCGAUCUGUGCUCCAUCACUGAAUCAAGAACGGUAAAGCGGAGCGCUCGCCCGCCAUUUAUUUCUCUGGUAAGGACAAAUCAUUUGCCCGAGGUCUCGCCCUCAACAGCCAAUGGGACAGUUUCAGCCUGCACACAACAAAGGCACAGAGAAAUUAAGUCUCAAGAUAUGAACCGAACUGAAAUUAUCAAGGUGGUCAAACGCAAUGUCAUGGCACAUACCAUUUUGCGGUACUUGAGGGCGUAGAGCAUUUCAAGGUACCGACGAGUCUCGCGCCUGUCGAGGUUGGAGACGUACUUCCAGAAACCAUAGACACCAGAAAGGGUCAUCAACCUCUCAGAGUACAGCUUCCAGGUGUACCUGCGUCAAGAUCCCAGGGCAUCAAUCUCAGCUCAGUGCUGUUAAAAGAGUCAGAGCAUGUGCAUCAGAUGGUAACAUAGAUAGGUAACAGAGAAUUGCAUAUAUACUUCUCCUCGAUGCGCUGGAGUCCUCCCUGCGAGAUCUUGUUCCAGUGGCUCGGGUCUUCCUUGCACUUCCCAAAGAAGUCCACGAGCAGUGCGGAGGCCUUGUCAUUCUGGUAAGGAUCGAUGUGGUAGCCGGACACGCCGUUGACAAUGAUCUCAGCUGGACCACCAUAUGCAGUGGCGAAUGUUGGAAGGCCACAUGUCAUGGCCUCUAUCACGGUAAGACCGAAAGCCUCAUAGAAAGCAGGCUGAGCACAGCAAGCCAAACAUGAAAAAAGAGGUGUCAGAACUAGUAAAUGUCGUGAUUCAGUCAUAGUGAGUUCCUAGGUUGACAGUGUCCUUCACCUGCACAAAGGCUCCCUUCAUGUCGCAGAUGUAGCGGUAGAGCUCACCAUUGCGAACACGGUUCAUCUGAGCAGAGAUCCAGCGGAUGUGACCAAUCAGGUUGUACUGUUCAAUAAGAUCAAACAUCUUCUUGAACUCUGCCUGCUCCUCCUUGUCCUUGGACACCUUUCCAUGGUCACCACAAACAACCACUAGGUUUACCAGCUCCUGUAGGCGAGGAUUCCGCCCAUACAUUUCUACCAGGCCAGUCAUAUUCUUGACACGGUCCAGCCUAGCCAUCGAGAAGAUGAUCGGCUUCUUCUUGUCCUUCAGCACAAAUCUGGAGAGGUAGUCAAGUUAGAUAACCAGCAUGGUAGGCAAUCUGUUUUAUAAGAACUCAAGAGUUAUAUAUGAUUAUACUUGUGCUCAGCAUUCUCAACAUCACUGAAGAGUAGCUCCUCAAUCUCAGUAUGGAGGGAGGUAAGCCUCUUCUGCUGUUCAGUGUAUGGGAAGUAGAUGGACAUGUCAGCACCAGGGGAGACGAUGUUGAACUUGGGGUCGAAGACAUCAAUACCAUGGACAACACGAUAGAGGCCUGGCAUUGUGAAUGCCAUGUGCGACUCGUACUGCCCUACGGUGUCCUUGCUGAAAAUUGGACGAUAACAUUAGAUCAGUUUAUGCUAUUUGCAAAUGACCACGGCGGUGUUUCUGUGAAAGAGAGAAUCUUACUUUCCGGCAAUCUCUUGGAAGGUACUGGUGAUGAUGAAGUCAGCAUGGUUCAUUGCAAUCAGGUCGGCUGUAAACUGGCAGGAGAAGUGGUAGUGAUCCUCAAAUUUCUUCCAGUAAAGGUCGGAGUUGGGGUACUUGGUUUUCUCGAGUGCAUGAGCAAUGGUACACUACGAGGAAAUAAGAAUUAUGAUAGGAUACUACGGAGAUGAGAAUACAUCUUGUACUGAGCAAAAGGGGAUAGAAUGCGUACAUGAGUUACUCCCAACUUGUGCGCCAACAAACAUGCUACUAGGUUGCCAUCGCUGUAGUUUCCAAUGAUCAGGUCAGGGGUGGCCUGCAGCUCUCCGGCGAUCUCGUGUGCCACAUCCUGAAAGCAACAGGAAAACAAAAUGAUGAAUUGCCAUUCUAAUGAAACGCUACAAAAAACCUGCUGGAAAGUGAAGUGCAUACAUCAGUGUAAGCUUCCAGGUAAGGCCAGACUUCAAAACGCGAGAUCCAUUUGCGAACAAUACCAUCUUCUGUUUUGAAUGGCACACGCAGGAUGUGGGUGUGCUCGGUGCCAAGGACCUUCUCAAGGCGCUGGCCACAGGUGGUGCCAUGUGCAUCAGGGAGCAACCUGGUGACCUAUGUAAGGCCAAAGGCACCUUAUUAGGGAUCAAUUAAAAUAGAGAGCUCGUAUUCGAUCAUAUUGGGGGUACUAAACUUACUAUUAGAAUCUUUGGUGUAAUGUCGAGACCUUGCUGCUUGAUUCUCAGCAGCAUCUCAUUCUCCAUAGCACGGACUUGGUCCAAAAUGUAGACAAUCUGUGGGUUGCCAUGACAUAAUAAAAUUGGUGAUAAUAAAUAUUUCCUGGUGUUCAGUUUAUCAAGAGGAAAUAUGUCAAGCUGUCAAAAGUGGGGUAGAGGAUUCUACCUGUCCACCAGUAUCAGGGUACCCCAAGACAUUGGCCUGAGCAAAGUAACCAUGAGGAGAGAGGAUAACAACAUUGAACACCAUUGGGAUUGUUCCGAGGAACUUCUCCAAGGAGGAUGGAUCAGGGGCCUCGAGAAGGUCCAAGAGAAGGUGGAUAGUCUCGCUCGCACGCUGAGCACAGUCACCCCAACCUUUCUCCAAACCAAGUUCCUGGAACCUGAAAAAUUGAUACGCAACGAUUUUAGUUCUUUGUUGAGAGCAAUAAGGGUUUCAAUGAUCAUGUGUAUGAUGAUUAUAUACAGUACCGGUGGUGGAACUCUGAGUAAGGGGUGUCAGCUGGAAGGCCUGACAGAUGUGUCUCUGCCUUCCUGAGUGCACCUUGGAGUUUACUGAGACUGCGAAUUCUGUCGUUCAACAUCAUGGUCUGAAGAAAGAAAGAAAAUAUUACAUGCUCAUCGUGAUUAAACAGCAGGUGUAAUAGUUCCAGUUUAAACUUUCAGUUGGCUCAUAGAUAGUGAUCAGGCUUUUGCACUUACUUAAAGAAUUUGUUCUAAAACAAUUCUUUUUACUUAGAAAAUGCACAUAUCAUCAGGGCAAAUGCCCAACACAUUAAGUAAGAUUGUAUCUAUAUUUUCUUACAGGCUGAGUAUGCUCAUAUGCUGCUUUUAGAUAUAUCUAAGAGAUUGACAUGCUAUAAACAAAUGAUGUAAGCCUUCAACAACAAAGAUAUAGUUUUUCUAGAGAACCUUCAGCAAAGAUAUAGUUGAAUGAUCCAAUCUACAAAGCCAAAUGAUCCAAUCUACAGAGCCAGACACUGGAGAGUGUAACCUACCAUCCCCUUGUAGUUGUGCGCGCGAAGGAAGUUGAGCAACGGGUACAUGCUCUCCUUGUCAUGGAACAGCUUCGACGACAAGUGCCUGUUCAGAAACUGCACACCGUUGCCAAUGGACUUCGACAGCGAUGGGCGCGGGAAGGAGGCGUUGAAUGGCUCAAAGUCCAGCUCAAGCACAAAGUUGUUAUCGAUGCUGCAAUUUGAACAGAAGAAGCGUUGUAUGAUAAAACUAAGGUAUAAGCUGGACUCUUGAAUCUUAAUAAUUUCACAAAUCACAGAUACCUUCCAUUCGCCAGUUGUUCCUUGAACUGCAAAUACUCAGCGACGCUUAACUCCUCAACACCAAGCUCGCUCACAUUGACCCUCACAUACUCCCAGACACCAGGCCUUGGCCGGAUGGCGAGAGCAACCCAUGGAGGGAUGACAAUUGCCUCCUGCAUGACAAACCAAAACAUAGAUCAAGAGCUGAACAUCACAGGAAUGACAGACACUGCAGUGAGUUUUGGUGGUGCAAACCUGUGCACCCCUUAGGAGAUCCUCAAAGGCGGUGUCCUUCAGCUUCUCGCGCUCGGCCUCAGGGAUCGCGGCAUUGUACUCAGCAGUGAUCUGAUGGGGCUGCAGCAUCCCCUUUCCUUGGUUAACAAGCCUGAACAAGUUAUCGUGUAACAGCAGGUGGGUCAGAUCUAUCAACAAACGUUACUUGAACAAAGUGUGGUAACGAUUGUAUCUUAUAUGCAGAGAUUUCUACAAACUGGCAGCCAGUCUAGCCUGCAGAAGAUCAAGGACAGACCUUGAGAAGACGGCGACGAGCUCAUUGGUGUGCACAGAGAGGGAAUCGCCGAUGCGCUCCCUCACGCUGUGGAUACGGCUCAGGGCGCGCUCUC